GGAAGUAACCGAAUGUUUCUGGGCGGCAGCGUGGGGCGCAACCUCGUGCUGUGGAGGGCCCUUGGGGCAGGGGAAGCGCUGCCAUGGCCGCGCGAGGAGCAACGGCAUCAAGAUGACUGUGUUUUCCAGGACUCUCGAUUGAUAUGCUUGCGGCACUGCAUCGAUAAAUAUGUAUGCCGUCUGUGGUCAGGUGGCGUUGGGCUUGAAGUUGUUCGAGGAAAUGCGGCGCUUCAUUGAUAAAAAUGUGCGCCAUGUGUGGACGAGUGAGAGUUGGGCUUGAAGGUGUUCGAGGAAACGAGGCACCUUAAUAUUUAUGCCGUGUGGUCAGGUGGGGUUGCCCUUGAAGGUGUUCGAGGAAAUGUGGCACCUCAAUGAGAUAUAUGUAUGUCGUGUGUGGUCAG
RNAcentral lists this long non-coding RNA (401 nucleotides) under Musa acuminata (dwarf banana). Its description in RNAcentral is "long non-coding RNA (MACU_LNC006662)". The record is from RNAcentral. Lineage: Eukaryota; Viridiplantae; Streptophyta; Magnoliopsida; Zingiberales; Musaceae.